RNAcentral lists this transfer RNA (51 nucleotides) under Brasilocerus sp. 2 DTA-2012. Its description in RNAcentral is "tRNA-Cys". Lineage: Eukaryota; Metazoa; Arthropoda; Insecta; Coleoptera; Phengodidae. The record is from RNAcentral.
GGUUUUAUAUUCAAAAAUGAUAUUAAAUUGCAAGUUAAAGAUCUUAAACCU